GAAUGUCUGCAUCUGGGUUGACAUGCUUCUCUCCGAGAUUUCCUUAUCCAAAACACUGCAAUACUUCAUCCAAUUCUUUUGUAAUCCGAGUGUUUUCACCUGAUCAGAAAAAUGGCACAUUCAGGCGAAAACUCAAACUUUCAUUUCGUCCCUCUGAUUAUUCAGAUAAGUAUGUACAGAUGAUUUAUGGAUUCACUAAGCAUUGUUGGUGUAUUUAUUCAAAUUAAGAUAAGUUUAUUUUGCUCUUUUUUUAUUGCAGAAAAUAUAGACCUGCAUUUCAACACACACCGAGAGUUUCGAUGGAUGCCUCCUUUGGAAAUCUGGCUGAUGAUUCAGAUGGUAAAUCUUCAAAGAUUCAUUAGCAAUUUAGCAUUAUAAUUAAUUAAUUAUCCAUAUUCUAUAUUAAACUUCAAAGAAUAAUAAUUCGAGAUAAUUCCGUGGUCUUCCAUGCAAUAUUAGAUCUUCUUUUCCCAUUGGUGUAUUACUGUAUAUGUAUAUUUCAAAGGUCUGAACUCUGAAGACUUCAAUAUGAAUACCACUUAGUGACUUUUUUGUGUUGGAUGAUCAACAUUUUCUGCGAUGUCAGCAAUAAUAUUUGCCGUGAUUAUGUAUUUGUUUUUCUUUGUUGCAUUUUGUGCUAUUUAUUCUCUAUCUCUCAAUGUGGGAAGUUGGUUGUGGCAAGGUUUAAAAACCGACGGUUAACCGGCUGACCGGUAGAUUAGUUCUAACCGAUAACCGGUUAGUAAUAUUUGGGUAGGAUCCGACCCGAAUACCUGACCCGUUUAAAAUUUUAAUUUCAUUUACUAUCUAGAAAACUAAAACUUCAUUUCUAUUACAAGUUUACUACUCUGUUUGAAUUUGAAUUUCUAUUACUACUAUGUUUGGAUUUCUGUCACUACUAUGUUUGAAUUUCUAUCACUAUUUUCUUUGAAUUUGUUAUCUUUUAGACUAUUACUAUUAUAAUUUAAACUUUAAAGUUUAAACAGGGUUUUUAUAUAGAUAAGAUAUUAUCUUCAAAAUUGUAAAAUUACGAGAAUACCUCUACCGGUUACCCACUGGUUAACUGGAUCUCCAGGUAGAUCUGGGUUUUAGCAAAAUUGCAGCUUCCUAUCCUCACCCUCGUCUUCAAGCUUUCAUACCUCUCCUCUAGAAUGUAGAAACCAUGUUCAGCCUAUUUGUGAUGGUGAAUGGUUCUGGCUUCUACAACCUCUAUUAUCCUUUCCAGCCUUUUCUUGCUAGCUUGAAGAACUUCUAGAUAACUUUUUCUGGUUUGAACCUGGGUCAGAUGAACUCUGUCUAGUUAUUUCUUCUAAGGUUUUUUUUGAAUAACACAAGUUUGUUAUUUACCAAAUGAUCAACCUUUUGUGCAUAUAAGAAAUGAAGUGUCUAUUAUCAUUAAUAUGAUUGCUAUUUCAAGCCUUGAAAGCACCUCUCUAAUGUUUUGCAUUAAUGACG
This 1455-nucleotide long non-coding RNA is filed under the name Zostera marina. RNAcentral describes it as "long non-coding RNA (ZMAR_LNC002810)". Lineage: Eukaryota; Viridiplantae; Streptophyta; Magnoliopsida; Alismatales; Zosteraceae. The record is from RNAcentral.